This 81-nucleotide transfer RNA is filed under the name Stegodyphus mimosarum. It matches the Rfam family "tRNA". From Rfam's summary of the family: Transfer RNA (tRNA) molecules are approximately 80 nucleotides in length. The record is from Rfam by way of RNAcentral. Lineage: Eukaryota; Metazoa; Arthropoda; Arachnida; Araneae; Eresidae.
GCCUUUGUGGCGGAGUGGUCAGCACGCUCGACGCGUAACCGAGAAAUCCAGAGGUCUGUGGUUCGAUUCCCGGCGAAGGCG